Molecule: transfer RNA, 64 nt
Filed under: Pronodularia japanensis
Lineage: Eukaryota; Metazoa; Mollusca; Bivalvia; Unionida; Unionidae
Description: tRNA-Asn
Source: RNAcentral
GGGAAAGAAGCUACUUAGCAAUUAGUUGUUACCUAAUAGAUAGCGGGUAAACCCCGCCUGCCCU